AGCAGCCGCGGUAAUUCCAGCUCCAAUAGCGUAUAUUAAAGUUGUUGCAGUUAAAAAGCUCGUAGUUGAAUUUCGGGGUUAGUAGGUUGGUCAUGCCUCUGGUAUGUACUGGUCUCACUGAUUCCUCCUUCCUGAUGAACCUUAAUGCCAUUAAUUUGGUGUUUUGGGGAAUUUGGACUGUUACUUUGAAAAAAUUAGAGUGUUUAAAGCAAGCUAACGCUUGAAUACAUUAGCAUGGAAUAAUGAAAUAGGACGUUCGAUCCUAUUUUGUUGGUUUCUAGGAUUGACGUAAUGAUUAAUAGGGAUAGUUGGGGGCAUUAGUAUUCAAUUGUCAGAGGUGAAAUUCUUGGAUUUAUUGAAGACUAACUACUGCGAAAGCAUUUGCCAAGGAUGUUUUCAUUAAUCAAGAACGAAAGUUAGGGGAUCGAAGACGAUCAGAUACCGUCGUAGUCUUAACCAUAAACUAUGCCGACUAGGGAUCGGAUGAUGUUAAUUUUUUAAUGACUCAUUCGGCGCCUCACG
Molecule: ribosomal RNA, 522 nt
Filed under: uncultured Glomeromycotina
Lineage: Eukaryota; Fungi; Glomeromycota
Description: SSU rRNA
Rfam family: Eukaryotic small subunit ribosomal RNA
Source: RNAcentral